UCCGGUUGAUCCUGCCGGAGGCGACCGCUUUUGGAGUUCGAUUAAGCCAUGCGAGUCGAGAGCCUUAGGGGCUCGGCAUACUGCUCAGUAACACGUGGAUAACCUGCCCUAUUGUCUGGAAUAACCUCGGGAAACUGAGAACAAGGCCGGAUAGCCCACAAUGCCUGGAACGGUUUGUGGGUGAAGAUAGGAUGGGUCUGCGGCGUAUCAGGUUGUAGGGGGUGUAAUGGACCUCCUAGCCAUCGACGCGUACGGGUGUUGGGAGACAUAGCCCGGAGAUGGAUUCUGAGACACGAAUCCAGACCCUACGGGGUGCAGCAGGCGCGAAAACUUCACACUGCAGGAAACUGUGAUGAGGGAACUCCAAGUGCUAUCACUAUGUGGUAGCUUUUCUUGACUAUUAAUCGGUCAUGGAAUAAGGGCUGGGAAAGACCGGUGCCAGCCGCCGCGGUAAUACCGGCAGCUCAAGUGGUCGUCGCUUUUAUUGGGCCUAAAACGUUCGUAGCCUGUUUGGUAAAUCUGUGGGUAAUCAAC
This 534-nucleotide ribosomal RNA is filed under the name uncultured archaeon. RNAcentral describes it as "bacterial SSU rRNA". It matches the Rfam family "Archaeal small subunit ribosomal RNA", at positions 1 to 553 of the family's 1478-position model. The record is from RNAcentral.